Molecule: ribosomal RNA, 433 nt
Filed under: uncultured bacterium
Lineage: Bacteria
Description: partial 16S ribosomal RNA
Rfam family: Bacterial small subunit ribosomal RNA
Source: RNAcentral
AACGAACGCUGGCGGCAUGCCUAACACAUGCAAGUCGAACGAGACCUUCGGGUCUAGUGGCGCACGGGUGCGUAACGCGUGGGAACCUGCCCUUAGGUUCGGAAUAACUCCCCGAAAGGGGUGCUAAUACCGGAUAAUGUCUUCGGACCAAAGAUUUAUCGCCUUUGGAUGGGCCCGCGUUGGAUUAGCUAGUUGGUAGGGUAAAAGCCUGCCAAGGCGACGAUCCAUAGCUGGUCUGAGAGGAUGAUCAGCCACACUGGGACUGAGACACGGCCCAGACUCCUACGGGAGGCAGCAGUGGGGAAUAUUGGACAAUGGGCGAAAGCCUGAUCCAGCAAUGCCGCGUGAGUGAUGAAGGCCUUAGGGUUGUAAAGCUCUUUUACCCGAGAUGAUAAUGACAGUACCGGGAGAAUAAGCUCCGGCUAACUCCGUG